CUGAGAGGACAAUUGUCGCCUCCUCCGGGACAUGUGCGCUCCGGGGGAAAGCGCCGGUAACAUGACGUACAGACACACACAUGUAGUGCCGGUAUCUGUGCACAUACGUGUUACAUCACAUAAGUAUCUAUAAGCGAUCAGUAUAUGAAGCGUCCAUAUGAGAACUGGACGUACAGUUUACCUGACACACGGCGCCAAAUUCAUCACCGGAUUUUUUGUCACAGCCAAUUUUCAUUUUUUAUUUUGUUUUCCUUUUUGAUUUUUCACAUUCUAGUCUUCCAAGCAUCAUAACUUUUUUUAUUUUUCCACUGACAUUUUACUAUGUCCAAUGGUUUUCCCUUUACAUUCGUACCUGGCAUCACCAACCUGUCAAAAAGAUUUCUGGCAAGUGGAGACUCUUUCCAGUCACUCCAUUACCAGUACAGAAUGGGAACGUCCACCAUAUGUGUCGUAGUUGGGGAAACCUGUGAUGCCAUAUGGAAGAAAUUGCAGCCUCUGCACCUUCCACAGCCAACUGAAAAUAUUUGGCUUUCCGCAGCUGAGGGUUUUAGGGUUAAUGCCAACUUCCCUAAUUGUGUUGGUGCCCUGGAUGGGAAGCAUGUUCGCAUCAGAAAACCUUCUGGUAGUGGGUCUAUGUACUAUAAUUAUAAAAAAUUAUUUUCUAUUAUAUUAAUGGCUAUAUGUGACUCAUCCUAUACAUUUUUGGCUGUGGAUAUCGGAGCCUAUGGACAUAACAACGACUCUAGAGUCUUUAACCCCUUAAGGACCAAGGACGUACCGGUACGUCCUUGGUCCUGCUCUUCUGAUAUAACGCGGGGUUACACAGUAACCCCGCGUCAUAUCAUGGCGGGCCCGGCGUCAUAGUGAAGCCGUGACCCGCCUCUAAUAGCGCGCAGCGCCGAUCGCGGCGCCGCGCGCUAUUAACCCUUUAGCCGCGCGCUCAGAGCUGAGCCACGCGGCUAAAAGUGAAAGUGAAAGUUCCCGACUAGCUCAGUCGGGCUGUUCGGGAUAGCAGCGGCUAAUCGCGGCAUCCCGAACAGCUGACAGGACAGCGGGAGGGCCCCUUCCUGCCUCCUCGCUGUCCGAUCGCCGAAUGACUGCUCAGUGCCUGAGAUCCAGGCAUGAGCAGUCAUGCGGCAGAAUCGUUGAUCACUGGUUUCUUAUGAGAAACCAGUGAUCAAUGAUGGAGAUCAGUGUGUGCAGUGUUAUAGGUCCCUAUGGGGGCUAUAACACUGCAAAAAAAAAGUGAAAAAAAAAAGUGAAUAAAUAUCAUUUAACUCCUCCCCUAUGAAAAGUUUGAAUCACCCCCCUUUUCCAAUAAAAAAAAAAAACACAGUGUAAAUAAAAAUAAAAAUAAACAUAUGUGGUAUCACCGCGUGCGGAAAUGUCCGAAUUAUAAAAAUAUAUCAUUAAUUAAACCGCUCGGUCAAUGGCGUGCGCGCAAAAAAAUUCCAAAGUCCAAAAUAGUGCAUUUUUGGUCACUUUUUCUAUCAUUUAAAAAUGAAUAAAAAGUGAUCAAUAAGUCCUAUCAAUGCAAAAAUGGUACCGGUAAAAACUUCAGAUCACGGCGCAAAAAAUGAGCCCUCAUACCGCCCCAUACACGGAAAAAUAAAAAAGUUAUAGGGGUCAGAAGAUGACAAUUUUAAACGUAUUAAUUUUCCUGCAUGUAGUUAUGAUUUUUUCCAGAAGUCCGACAAAAUCAAACCUAUAUAAGUAGGGUAUCAUUUUAAUCGUAUGGACCUACAGAAUACAUAUCAGGUGUAAUUUUUACUGAAAAAUUUACUACGUAGAAACGGAAGCCCCCAAAAGUUACAAAACAGCGUUUUUUUUUCAAUUUUGUCGCACAAUGAUUUUUUUUCCCGCUUCACCAUAGAUUUUUGGGCAAAAUGACUGACGUCAUUACAAAGUAGAAUUGGUGGCGCAAAAAAUAAGCCAUCAUAUGGAUUUUUAGGUGUAAAUUUGAAAGAGUUGUGAUUUUUUAAAGGCAAGGAGCAAAAAACGAAAAUGCAAAAACGGAAAAACCUCCGGUCCUUAAGGGGUUAAGGAGUCUAAUUUUGGAAAAGCCAUAUACAGUGGAGCAUUUGGAAUACCUGAGGCCAAACCACUGCCCGGUACCGAUGGACCUGCUAUACCACAUGUUAUAGUCGCAGAUGAGGCUUUCCAGAUGUGCAAAAAUCUUUUAAAGCCAUAUUCUGGAAGAAGGUUAACACCUCAACGCCGGAUCUUUAACUAUCGCCUCACACGUGCCCGUAGAUAUAUAGAGUGCACAUUUGGAAUUUUAACAAACAAGUGGAGGGUUCUGACCACAUGGAUACAACUAAAGCCUGAGAAAGGGGACUGUGUAAUUCUUGCAUGUGUAGUACUACACAAUUUCAUUCUCAACACUGAGGCCGGAGCUGUUCCAAAUAUUGAAGAAGUAGAAGAGUCCCCAUUGGUUGGCCUGGAUUAUAACCCUCUUCGGUCAUCAGUGUCAGUGAUGCAAAUAAGCGACCAAUUUUCUACCUCCUUCAAGUCUCCACUUAGUGCUGUCCCAUGGCAAGAUGCUGUAUAGAUGAAUUCUACAUCACUAGACAUCUAUCAACAUUUUUUUUUUACCUUUGAAAAAGAAUACGAUGACAGUUUUGUGCUUGAGUAAACAAAUUUACUACAAAAGUAAAACUUUUAUAAAACAACAACUCGUGUGUUUUU
This is a long non-coding RNA of Hyla sarda, 2688 nucleotides long. RefSeq lists it as uncharacterized. The transcript is spliced from 3 exons. The record is from RefSeq and is a predicted model, not a curated record. NCBI's taxonomy places the organism in Eukaryota, Metazoa, Chordata, Amphibia, Anura, Hylidae.